Molecule: ribosomal RNA, 468 nt
Filed under: uncultured bacterium
Lineage: Bacteria
Description: partial 16S ribosomal RNA
Rfam family: Bacterial small subunit ribosomal RNA
Source: RNAcentral
GACGAACGCUGGCGGCGUGCUUAACACAUGCAAGUCGAACGGAAAGGCCCUGCUUUUGUGGGGUGCUCGAGUGGCGAACGGGUGAGUAACACGUGAGUAACCUGCCCUUGACUUUGGGAUAACUUCAGGAAACUGGGGCGAAUACCGGAUAGGAGCUCCUGCUGCAUGGUGGGGGUUGGAAAGUUUCGGCGGUGGGGGAUGGACUCGCGGGUUAUCCGCUUGUUGGUGGGGUAGUGGCUUACCAAGGCUUUGACGGGUAGCCGGCCUGAGAGGGUGACCGGCCACAUUGGUACUGAGAUACGGCCCAGACUCCUACGGGAGGCAGCAGUGGGGAAUAUUGCACAAUGGGCGGAAGCCUGAUGCAGCAACGCCGCGUGCGGGAUGACGGCCUUCGGGUUGUAAACCGCUUUCGCCUGUGACGAAGCGUGAGUGACGGUAAUGGGUAAAGAAGCACCGGCUAACUACGUG